CGAUAUAUUAAUAGGUUGUGAGCUUUUAUAACCAUUCGCGGACACAGGAAGCUGUGUGUACCUGUUACGGAGAAGUUUACGAGAAGUACAGAUUGACACUGGACAGAAACGAUGGUGUGACUGCUAAUAAAAGCUAGCAUCUACGUGGUUAGAAGGAUCCGGGCUUCCAUCGCUGAAGGAGAGCAACAGGAGAAGCCCAUCCUGACACCAUGUAGUGCUAUUGCUGGAAAGAGAGCGGGACAGGGGUUAAGAGAAAAAGCCUCAGCUGCAUCACUGAGCCCAGGAUCUGAUGAAGGCGUCUUAGAAGCAGCAGGGCCGGGGACGUCAUCAGAGACAGCCGUGCAGAAAUGUGGCUCCUGAUGUUAAAGACUACGCUGGACACUAGGACCAUGGACAAGUCAAUGGAAAUAAAUAAUCGAUUAUGUAUUUAAUUUCAUUUUUGGGGGGUACUCAUUCAUUUUAUACACUAAACAGUUUAUGUGUGAAGAUCUACAUUGUUAUUUUUCUUUUACACAAAAGCAAACAUCAAACAAACAAGAAAUAUUAUUCCAGCACUGUCCAUGUUGUAUGUUGUACCCAGUGGUCAAAUUUUUAUUACUUGAGACAUUUUGACUUGCCACACCAUGAAGUUGGCAUAGCUAAUAGAAAAUAUCACUAUAAUAACAUUACCCAAAAUCAGUUUUAAAAAAAAGUCUGCAUAUGUUAUCAAGUGUGAGUGGUAGGUCAACAUGUUCUCUGUAAGUAAAAUCUGAAGUUUAUCUGCUGCAGUGUUUGAAGGCUGGCUCACCAACCUCUUUCCAGGGGCUGAGCUGGCCUGAUGUUUCUGCUGUUACAUCAAUAAAUUAUAAAAAUGC
Neolamprologus brichardi is the source of this 854-nucleotide long non-coding RNA. RefSeq lists it as uncharacterized. NCBI's taxonomy places the organism in Eukaryota, Metazoa, Chordata, Actinopteri, Cichliformes, Cichlidae. The record is from RefSeq and is a predicted model, not a curated record.